This 486-nucleotide ribosomal RNA is filed under the name uncultured bacterium. RNAcentral describes it as "partial 16S ribosomal RNA". It matches the Rfam family "Bacterial small subunit ribosomal RNA", at positions 899 to 1397 of the family's 1533-position model. The record is from RNAcentral.
ACUCAAAUGAAUAGACGGGGAGGCGCACAAGCAGUGGAGCAUGUGGUUUAAUUCGAUACAAAGCGAAAAACCUCACCAGGAUUUGACAUGUAUCUGCAAACCCUAGGAAACUAGGGCUCCUACGAGGGUGAUACACAGAUGCUGCAUGGCUGUCGUCAGCUCGUGGCGUGAGCUGUCCCCUUAAGUGGGCAAACGAGCGCAACCCGCACCGUAUGUUAAAUAGUUCAUGCGGAACUGCUCCGAAUUUUUCGGGGAGGAAGGCGCGGAUGACGUCAAGUCAGCACGGCUCUUACAUCCUGGGCUACACACAUCCUACAAUGGCGAACAACAACGAGUUGCAAACUGGUAACAGUAAGCUAACCUCUGAAAUUUCGCCUCAGUUCAGAUUGGGGUCUGCAAUUCGACCCCAUGAAGUCGGAAUUGCUAGUAAUCGCGAAUCAGCAGGUCGCGGUGAAUACGUUCUCGCCUCUUGUACACACCGCCCGU